RNAcentral lists this ribosomal RNA (497 nucleotides) under uncultured bacterium. RNAcentral's name for it is "partial 16S ribosomal RNA". It matches the Rfam family "Bacterial small subunit ribosomal RNA", at positions 28 to 507 of the family's 1533-position model. The record is from RNAcentral.
GAUGAACGCUGGCGGCGUGCCUAAUACAUGCAAGUCGAGCGAACAGACGAGGAGCUUGCUUCUCUGACGUUAGCGGCGGACGGGUGAGUAACACGUGGAUAACCUACCUAUAAGACUGGGAUAACUUCGGGAAACCGGAGCUAAUACCGGAUAAUAUAUUGAACCGCAUGGUUCAAUAGUGAAAGACGGUCUUGCUGUCACUUAUAGAUGGAUCCGCGCCGCAUUAGCUAGUUGGUAAGGUAACGGCUUACCAAGGCAACGAUGCGUAGCCGACCUGAGAGGGUGAUCGGCCACACUGGAACUGAGACACGGUCCAGACUCCUACGGGAGGCAGCAGUAGGGAAUCUUCCGCAAUGGGCGAAAGCCUGACGGAGCAACGCCGCGUGAGUGAUGAAGGUCUUCGGAUCGUAAAACUCUGUUAUUAGGGAAGAACAAAUGUGUAAGUAACUGUGCACGUCUUGACGGUACCUAAUCAGAAAGCCACGGCUAACUACGUG